AUAAACGCUGGCGGCGUGCUUCAGGCAUGCAAGUCGAACGAGCACUUCGGUGCGAGUGGCGGACGGGUGAGUAACACGUGAGCAACCUGCCCAGAAGUGGGGAAUAACUUGCCGAAAGGCGAGCUAAUACCGCAUGUGAUGGUUCUUCCCUGGAGGAAUCAUAAAAGGCGAAAGUCGCUUCUGGAGGGGCUUGCGGCCGAUUAGCUAGUUGGUGGGGUAAUGGCCUACCAAGGCGACGAUCGGUAGCUGGUCUGAGAGGACGGUCAGCCACACGGGGACUGAGAUACGGCCCCGACUCCUACGGGAGGCAGCAGCUAGGAAUCUUGGGAAUGGGCGAAAGCCUGACCCAGCAACGCCGCGUGGGCGAUGAAGGCCUUCGGGUCGUAAAGCCCUUUUGCAGGGGAAGAUGAUGACGGUACCCUGCGAAUAAGCCACGGCUAACUACGU
This 447-nucleotide ribosomal RNA is filed under the name uncultured bacterium. Its description in RNAcentral is "bacterial SSU rRNA". It matches the Rfam family "Bacterial small subunit ribosomal RNA", at positions 29 to 506 of the family's 1533-position model. The record is from RNAcentral.